UGCAGUCGAGCGAAGCACUUAAGUUUGAUUCUUCGGAUGAAGACUUUUGUGACUGAGCGGCGGACGGGUGAGUAACGCGUGGGUAACCUGCCUCAUACAGGGGGAUAACAGUUAGAAAUGACUGCUAAUACCGCAUAAGACCACGGUACCGCAUGGUACAGUGGUAAAAACUCCGGUGGUAUGAGAUGGACCCGCGUCUGAUUAGGUAGUUGGUGGGGUAACGGCCUACCAAGCCGACGAUCAGUAGCCGACCUGAGAGGGUGACCGGCCACAUUGGGACUGAGACACGGCCCAGACUCCUACGGGAGGCAGCAGUGGGGAAUAUUGCACAAUGGAGGAAACUCUGAUGCAGCGACGCCGCGUGAAGGAUGAAGUAUUUCGGUAUGUAAACUUCUAUCAGCAGGGAAGAAAAUGACGGUACCUGACUAAGAAGCCCCGGCUAACUACGUGCCAGCAGCCGCGGUAAUACGUAGGGGGCAAGCGUUAUCCGGAUUUACUGGGUGUAAAGGGAGCGUAGACGGCACGGCAAGCCAGAUGUGAAAGCCCGGGGCUCAACCCCGGGACUGCAUUUGGAACUGCUGAGCUAGAGUGUCGGAGAGGCAAGUGGAAUUCCUAGUGUAGCGGUGAAAUGCGUAGAUAUUAGGAGGAACACCAGCGGCGAAGGCGGCUUGCUGGACGAUGACUGACGUUGAGGCUCGAAAGCGUGGGG
This 709-nucleotide ribosomal RNA is filed under the name uncultured bacterium. Its description in RNAcentral is "bacterial SSU rRNA". It matches the Rfam family "Bacterial small subunit ribosomal RNA", at positions 56 to 766 of the family's 1533-position model. The record is from RNAcentral.